RNAcentral lists this ribosomal RNA (497 nucleotides) under uncultured bacterium. RNAcentral's name for it is "partial 16S ribosomal RNA". It matches the Rfam family "Bacterial small subunit ribosomal RNA", at positions 28 to 507 of the family's 1533-position model. The record is from RNAcentral.
GAUGAACGCUGGCGGCGUGCCUAAUACAUGCAAGUCGAGCGAACAGAUAAGGAGCUUGCUCCUUUGACGUUAGCGGCGGACGGGUGAGUAACACGUGGGUAACCUACCUAUAAGACUGGAAUAACCCCGGGAAACCGGGGCUAAUGCCGGAUAACAUUUAGAACCGCAUGGUUCUAAAGUGAAAGAUGGUUUUGCUAUCACUUAUAGAUGGACCCGGGCCGUAUUAGCUAGUUGGUAGGGUAACGGCCUACCAAGGCAACGAUUCGUAGCCGACCUGAGAGGCGGGUCGGCCACACUGGAACGUAGACACGGUCCUUACUCCUACGGGAGGCAGCAGUAGGGUACCGUCCGCAGUAGGCGAAAGCCUUGCGGAGCGGCGCCGCGUGAGUUGCGGCGGUCUUCGGAGCGUGAAACCCUGUUAUUAGUGAAGAACAAAUUUGUAAGUAACUGUGCACGUCUUGACGGUACCUAAUCAGAAAGCCACGGCUAACUACGUG